Molecule: non-coding RNA, 3027 nt
Organism: Poecilia reticulata (guppy)
Lineage: Eukaryota; Metazoa; Chordata; Actinopteri; Cyprinodontiformes; Poeciliidae
Source: RefSeq, a predicted model, not a curated record
UUCAUGUUAGACAUAAAGUCAGCUUUAGGAACAAAGUCAAAUUAUUUAUCACUACUUGAAAUUCCCCCAAAACUUUUUAAGCUGCACUUAAAACAACUGAAUUACUGCUUUGAGAAUUUAUUUCCGAGUUUAAUUCAUUGAUAGAAAUGAUUGACCACAUUUUCAGAUUUUUACAAAUUUUAAGUCAAGUUUAGUUGUACAGCACAUUUCAGCAACGAACCAGUUCGAAGUGUUUUACAUCAGAAAAACGUCAGAAAAACAUGUGCCAGUUAUCAAACCAGCAACAACUAUUACAUUUAGUCAAAUUUUAUUUAAUAGACAUUUAUUACGUCCCUUUACUUUGUGUUGAUGUGUUACUCAGAAUCCCAGUAAAACACGUUAAAGUUUAUGCCUAUAAUGGGAUGAUUGUGGAAAAGGUUUAAAGGGUGAGUAUGUUUCCAAGGCAUUUUGUAUAAUAGUAGUAAAUCAGUUCAUCAGUCAAUAUUGUUCUUUAGAUAUCACUUCCUGAAUAUAAAAGAUGAUCUACUAACCAUUAUAUAGUGAUUAUUAACUUAAUCUUACAAAAAUAAUCUCAACCAAAAAAGAAAAAGAUAGUACUUAAAUCUCAAAUCUAGAAUCUUUUCAGUGGUUUGUCAAAUUAGUACCAGCUUUUCUAUCCGAAGACUUUAAAAUUUUAUUUUAUUUUUUAUGAAAGCCAUCAAUUAUUUAAUGUAUAGCUGCAACUUUAUGCUUCCCUUUUUCUGUCAUACAAGAAUGCAGUAUCCAACUCUUAUCUGCUGUGUGUGGAGAAUCAUCCACACGUCACAUGAAAGCAAAAGUCUGUCUUUGCUUUUCAUUAUUCAACCUCGAGGAAAACAGAUAGGAAGGAAAGAUAAGGAGAUGAAAGAAAGGUUAAAAAAAAAAGUCUUUCAUUUUCUUUCCUAAUUGGUCUCCUGCUGCCGGGCCGAGAGGAAGUGGAGCUUCCACACCUCCACCCACAGAGGACGCCUGGAGUCUGGCCCCAUCCCCGGAGCUUUGGAGGAGUGUGAAGUGCCAGCUUCAAUCCCAGUAAUCUCAAUCCCGCGCUCCACGGUCGUUUCUCCUCCGCGGCGGCGUGAAUGAGCCGGGGAUGACCUCCCUCCUGGUUCGCAUUAUCUGCCCACCUGUUAAUAUGAGACCUUUGACCUGACGGAGAGGAGAUGCGGUCAGAGGACAGCGAGUCUGUCCUAAUGAGUCUACGUCCAGUCGAUGUGUCAUUUGGUUUCAUUCACAAGACGAACAGCAGCUUGAACAAACCAGCAUGCAUGUGCUAAUAAAUUACUUUUUUUGUAUUUUCAUAAACAGAAUGAAAUUGUUUUUUAGCUCAGCCCUGCGAUCUCUGGUUUAUUCUCACAAAAUGUGUUUUAAUACCUUUAUUCCUCACAAUAAAUCGCUUCAAUUCAAAUUCAAAUGUACCUUAUUGAUCCCAGAGGAAAAUGAAAUGUUAUUGUAACUCAUAUUAAUUCAAAUUCUUCAGAUUCCUUGGACAAAGUGACAGCUGUUGGCAGGAAUGAUCUCCUGUAGCGGCCUGCGCUACAGUGAAUUUGAAGAAGCCUCUGACUUAAGACACUGUUUUUCAAACACAUCUAACUUGUCUCAUCUCAGUGCCAUUCAAAGUAAAAAUAUCACGGUUGAUGUUAUUUUAUUUUUAACAAAAUAAAUGUCUUCACAAGAUUAUGCAAAAUUGUAUUACUUAUUGUUUGUAAAGUCCAAUAAAUCUUUUUCUCCCUGUAAUUUAUUUUUUCUGCAAAAGAAAAGAUAUAUCACAUGGGUUCUAAGUAAGAGUACGGAAAGAGAAAUGUACGUUUUUGUGGGGUUUUUUUUUAAAGAACUUCAGAAAACGGACGUAGUGCUGAUUAUGUUUUCAUCUGACACAGUUUGUAGCUAGCUUAGGCUAAUGCUAACAUGUUGAUUCUGUUCUUCAAACGCAUUUAAUCAUGAUUUAGGCCCGAUUUCAAAUUGAAACUUUAUGAGACCAAAGCACCCUAAAGUAACUCAAUUGAUUGAUUGAUUUUAAAUGUUUCACAUCACUUAGCUAUCGUCGUUUCCUCCUGCUCUGUUUCUCCCUCCCCCGCCAGCACAGAGCAAACUUUCAUGCCCACACAUAUAUCCUCAUAUCAACCCGAUACAUCCCUGACACAUGCGGAGCAGACUUCUAAAGCAAAUUGAUUAUUUGCAUGUAGCCUAGCGCUCUCCCUCUGUGGUCUGCUGCACAGAUGUAUGGAUGGAUGCGUUACUUCCAUAGAGAGAGAGAGAGAAACAAAGAGCUGCAGCAGCAGGAGCCAUCUUUCAGAAUGACAGAGAAGUCAAAAGCCGGGAUUUUACUUUAACCCUGUCGAAGCAGCCGACACUUUGUGAGGUUUUGCCGCAAAAAGUGAGAUAAAAAAAGGAAUAUUUUCUUAGUUCCUACCCAGUUCCAAGUGCGUUACUUUGUGAAUAUUUUAAAACUAAUUUCUAAUCGCUGCAUGGGAAUUUGUUAAACUUCAAAACAGAACAUUCUGUGACAUCAUCUGUGUUGCUCUGUUGUUUCAUUUUGAAAGCCAUAAAAGUAAUGAAUUGGCCCCUGAUCAUCCAAUACAUGACUACUCCUCUCCCAGCCUUGUUAAUCAAUGUAAUGGUCAUAAGGACAGAUCAGCUUCCAAACAGGACAGCGGCUCUCAGAUGAUGUCUUGUUCCUGGUUGCUAGGAGACAGGCUCGUUUGCUACAACUUGAACGGUCGAGAUUAAAAAGAAACAUGUAGAGUUAAAGCUGUAAGGACUUAACACCUGAUGCCCAAUGAUUAUCAUAACUAAGUAGUCGGUGCUGAUGGCUGUGGACAUGAAGGAUCACCUGUAGCAAUCUCUGUUACAGAGGUUUUGAAGAAGCAUCCGACUGAAGACCCUCCGUUCUUGUAUGACAGUCUCAUGAAGAAGAUGCUCAGUGUUGACCAUAAUGUUACUGAUUUUAUGGCAAAUCCUUCUUUGCACAACAGUCUCCAGAGGAAUACAAAGAAGUCUAAGAGACAAGUU